GUGCUCGCUUCAGCAGCACAUAUACUAAAAUUCUAUACAGAGAAGAUUAGCAUGACCCCUGUGCAAGAAUGACACAAUAAAAGACUAACAUCAACAUUAAAUGU
This is a small nuclear RNA of Suncus etruscus (white-toothed pygmy shrew), 104 nucleotides long. The record is from RefSeq and is a predicted model, not a curated record. NCBI's taxonomy places the organism in Eukaryota, Metazoa, Chordata, Mammalia, Eulipotyphla, Soricidae.